AGGCACAUAGCUCAGUUGGUUAGAGCACCACCUUGACAUGGUGGGGUCGUUGGUUCGAGUCCAAUUGUGCCUACCA
This 76-nucleotide transfer RNA is filed under the name Neisseria subflava. Its description in RNAcentral is "tRNA-Val". It matches the Rfam family "tRNA". From Rfam's summary of the family: Transfer RNA (tRNA) molecules are approximately 80 nucleotides in length. Their secondary structure includes four short double-helical elements and three loops (D, anti-codon, and T loops). Lineage: Bacteria; Pseudomonadati; Pseudomonadota; Betaproteobacteria; Neisseriales; Neisseriaceae. The record is from RNAcentral.